UACAGAGGGUGCAAGCGUUGUCCGGAAUUAUUGGGCGUAAAGAGCUCGUAGGCGGUGUGUCACGUCGGCCGUGAAAACCUGGGGCUUAACUCUGGGCGUGCGGUCGAUACGGGCAUCACUAGAGUUCGGCAGGGGAGACUGGAAUUCCUGGUGUAGCGGUGAAAUGCGCAGAUAUCAGGAGGAACACCGGUGGCGAAGGCGGGUCUCUGGGCCGAUACUGACGCUGAGGAGCGAAAGCCAGGGGAGCAAACGGG
Molecule: ribosomal RNA, 254 nt
Filed under: uncultured bacterium
Lineage: Bacteria
Description: partial 16S ribosomal RNA
Rfam family: Bacterial small subunit ribosomal RNA
Source: RNAcentral